UACGAAGGGGGCUAGCGUUGCUCGGAAUCACUGGGCGUAAAGCGCACGUAGGCGGCUUUGUAAGUUAGAGGUGAAAGCCCGGAGCUCAACUCCGGAAUUGCCUUUAAGACUGCAUCGCUAGAAUUGUGGAGAGGUGAGUGGAAUUCCGAGUGUAGAGGUGAAAUUCGUAGAUAUUCGCAAGAACACCAGUGGCGAAGGCGGCAGCCUGGGUCCAGACUGACACUGAGGUGCGAAAGCGUGGGGAGCAAACAGG
RNAcentral lists this ribosomal RNA (253 nucleotides) under uncultured bacterium. Its description in RNAcentral is "partial 16S ribosomal RNA". It matches the Rfam family "Bacterial small subunit ribosomal RNA", at positions 524 to 776 of the family's 1533-position model. The record is from RNAcentral.